Molecule: long non-coding RNA, 374 nt
Organism: Pipistrellus kuhlii (Kuhl's pipistrelle)
Lineage: Eukaryota; Metazoa; Chordata; Mammalia; Chiroptera; Vespertilionidae
Exons: 3
Source: RefSeq, a predicted model, not a curated record
UCAGCCUCCAUCUGUUGUUGGAGACUUGGUAUAAGCUGGCACGGUCCUUGCACCUGAAGGGGCUAGCAAGACUUAGCCCACUACCCACACAGUUUUCCCAGAUUUGUUUGGAUGGCGGUUAUCAGUAGAAUGAGAACAACCUUUGUAGAAUGAGAGCAAUCUUUCAUGGCUUACCAAGAAGUCUGUAACUAUUUACUGAAAUUUGCUGUACUGAGAAUCUGCCUGAUUUGCUGUACUGAGAAUUUGUACUUCUGCUUUGUCUCUCCCUUAAAGAUUAAGAAGAACAAAGAAUACAUUCCUCUUGACAGACCUCCUAUUCAAGUGUUUGUGUAUAAAAGGCAUUACACAGUUAAUAAAGUUGCUGCAAUCGGUCA